RNAcentral lists this long non-coding RNA (5749 nucleotides) under Sus scrofa (pig). RNAcentral's name for it is "lncRNA (ENSSSCG00050041071.1)". Lineage: Eukaryota; Metazoa; Chordata; Mammalia; Artiodactyla; Suidae. The record is from RNAcentral.
GAGUGGGCGGGAGCCCUGGGUGCACAUACCUGGCCGCCCCAAGGCCUCACCGGCCCCCGCAGAUGCAGAGGAGCGAGGCCUGGAGCCCCAGGGCCGAGACAUGCUGCUGGACCGGCAGCUCCUGCGGAAGCGCAGCAGCCAGACCCCGGGAAACACCAGGGGUGAGACCCCCCAUUGGAGGCCUGCAGAGCUGAGCCUUCAUCCAAAACCCUGGGGUCCCUCUCCGUCGGCCACAGUGAAUCUUGGGCCAACCUCCCAGCCCCGUGGGCGCGUCACCAUCGCCAGGGCAGCGGCUGGAGAGGCGAGCUGAGGGGCUGACUUCCACCCGACGGCUGAUGAGGUGAGGCUGAGCCCCAGGCUGGGGCCUGGAGCAAGACCCAAGCAGCAGGGGAGGUACAGAGGCACCCGUCUCCCUGGCGUGUGUGCGUGUGCAUGCGUGUGCGUGCGCGUGCGUGGUGUGUGUGUGGAGAACCAAUUUGCAUUGUCUCUGCGCACGUGCGAUAAGAGUUUUCCGACACAAAAGGUGUCAGUAAAAUUAACUGAUUUCAUUUUGAACCUUCCCCCCAGCCCAACAGGCAGUGUCUGGCAAGGCUUCCUUUCAGCGAGACGCUUUGGGUUCAACUUUGCCAAUGGCUAGUGUGAAGCUAAGCCGGCCUGAAGUCACAGGCGCACGAGCCUCGUGAGCCCUGGAGAAGGGCCACGAAGCUCAGGCUGGGGAGGGGGCCCUGGGCCGCCCCCCCUCCAGCCCCAGGCUCCGACCCUGCUGAGGGGGCUUGGUGUCUUCUCUGCACACAGCCCCUCAGGCAAGUCCAGAGCCCUGCUUCCUCCCGGGAAUGCCAGGGACAUGUCACCUACGGCAUCUGUCCCGCUCUUGCUCUGAUUGAGCGGCCCCAGCAGAGGAGACUGUGGGAACAGACAGAGAAGAAGGCAGCCUUUGGGGGAAAAGCUGAGUCAGCGAGGGAGGAGGGGAGGCCGGGCUGCUGCGGACGCAGCCUCCCCCGAGCAGCUGCCUUCCCUGCGUCCUGCAGCAGGAGGCGCUGCUGAGAACAAGUGCACUCCCCACUUGGAGUCUCGAAAUCCUGUUUCUGCAAAGCUGGCUGCAUCGCACACGGAACGUCAGUGCCCACACGUGGCCUGGAGCAAGACUGAGCCCUUGGCCCUCCCGCUGGGGGUCUUACAACGGGGCGAGCUUACGAGGUGCCCAGAGCAUCAUCAAGCUGGCUCAGGGGGCCCAGAGCUGAGUGUGCCACAGCCCAGCCCCGACCAGCACUGGCCCCUAGGAGGAAGGACACCUUGAGGCCAGCAGGUGCCGUGGCGAACAAGGGCACAGGACAUGCCACCUCCCGGUGCCCCUGUGGGCAGGGAGACGGACGCCUUCCCCUCCACAGGCCAGUGGCAUCCCGCUGUCUCCAUUUGAGAGGCGGCAAGCAGGCCAGAUGGGGCCGCCUUGAAAGCCUGCCCUCCAGCCAAAGCCAAGGGCACGGGAAAUAAACUGGGUCCAUAUGUGCGGGCAGCUCCCGCAUGUCUGCGGCACGCACCUGCCUCUGCUCCCAGGUCCAACCCUGCAGUCGCACACCUCUGAACACCCGUCCAUGAAGCUGAUGCGGUGACCUAGGGGGACCUCCCUCAAGGGGCCACUGUCAGGUGCAGGUCAACCGCUCUGUGGUCUCGGGCAAGACGAUGAGUGAAGACGGAGCUGAGCUGCACCCAGCAGGCACUAGAUCAAGGCAGAAAAACGUGGACCUGCAGAGCAGAGUGACACAUUGCCCCAGGUCUCUGCUACGUGGCCUGGCCCUCCCGAAGUGGGGGAUUUAAAGUGACAGCACCAGUUCUGAGCUCACCCAUCUGCAGUUUGGGCAGAGAGAGACUGAAAGGAGGCAGAGACAGGGGGAAGGUGGGGGAGGAGCCUCCUCAGACUGGGGACCCUGCUGGAGGGCAGCAAAAGGACAGCCCUGGAGUUCCCGGAGUGGCACGACAGAAACGAAUCGGACUAGGAACGAUGAGGUAGCGAGUUCGAUCCCUGGCCUCGCUCAGUGGGUUAAGGAUCCAACAUUGCCGUGAGCUGUGGUGUAGGUCGCAGACUCAGCUUGGAUCCCGCGUUUUUGCGGCUGUGGUUGUGGCAUAGGCCGGCGGCUACAACUCUGACUGGGCCCCUAGACUGGGAACCUCCAUAUGCUGAGGUGCAGCCCUGAAAAGACCAAAAAGAAAGAAAGAAAGAAAGAAAGAAAGAGCAGCUCCCCCACCUCCCCGCCCCUUAAAGCUGCAGCUGGGAGCGCAGCAAGGCGUCCUCUUUGGGUCUCGGCAGCACCCCUCGGGCACUUUGAGCAUCACCGCCCAUCUCCAAGCCGCGGCGGCCUCAUCUAGAAAAGCGAGGUCUGUGCAAACCUGGAAACCAGAGGGCACGGAGCAGUCCGGGGAGCCCGACACAGGGAACAUGUGGCUUCAGGGAGCGGGAGCCCAGCGCCUGCAGAGAGGCCACCUGCUUCGGGGGCAGGAGAGCAGGGCCAGGUGGCCCCCAGGUUGAGGCUGUACCUGGGGGAGCACCCAGGUGCGGAGGGGCCCUCAGCCAGACCCUCUGUGUCUUUCCUCCGAAGAGAAGUUCUAGUUGACCCAGGGGCUCUGCAGGGCCCCUCCUGGAAGCCCUCCUCUCUGCCACAUGGACUGUGUCAUCUCAUCAUCUUUCUGUCACCUGACAGGCUUCUUCUGCCCCGAGUCCCCUGCCAGUGGGAUUUUCCGUCUCAAUCUCACCCCCUCCUCUCCUAACGGGCCUCUUCUUCUGAAAUAAAUCGAUUGCUUUCAUGCCAACUCUCUUCUCUCUGCUAAGAAAUCAUCGAGUUUUUUAAACUUUUAUUUGUUCUGUUCCCCCCCCCCCCAUUUCUUCCCAGGCCUCCUUUUCUCUGGGGAUCGUGAAAUUUUAUUUAGCAAGUCCCGGAACAAGUCCCAACCGGGCCUCCUCGUGCGCGAGAAUGUCACAUCCGUGCCACAUUUAAGACAACCUGGAAGGGACCCUCAGCGACGGAGCUGCCCGCUCUGCCAGCUUCCUCCCUGGGAAACCCAGAGCCCAGGGGAGAAGGAAAAGGGCCGAGGCCGAAAACAAGGCCAGGGUCUGAGCCUUGAGUGGAAAUCGGGGUCCGGCCGGGCCUCCCUUUCCCGCGUGGUGAAGAAUCACGUGCCGGCAGGAGGAGGUGCAUGGGCACCCGGGACGCCACCCUGGGGAAGAACCGGCGAGGCCUCUUGUUGCUCCAGGGGAAGCGGCCCAGAGCUGCCAAGUGACACGGCGCUGGCCACCAAGAAAGUGUGGAAGCUUGCCAAACCCAGCCGGGGACACUCUCUGUCCCUGGUGAAGACGGCCAAGCCGCUGGCACUGCCCUGUGAAGGAGGACACCAGCUGAGGUGGCAGGAGAAGGGCCGGGAGCAUCAUGGAGCAGCCCGGUCACAGCCGACAGCCAGCUGCCCCCAGAUGCUUGCUCCUUGAGGAGAAAGCGCACUCAGGUCGAAGCCUCUGCUUCCCGGUGUCUCAGUCCUCGUAGACUCAUUUGUCCCUAAAUGACUUGGCCCUCAGCCUGGAGACACCCCGCACCCCAGGAGGGAGGGGAAUGCCCCGGGGACAGCGGCGAGCCGCCCCUGGGCGCCGAUGCCUGCAAGCAAGGGCCUCCUCCCCAGGGAGCCCGGGCCUUCUACACGCGCCGACCACGCAGGACUCCCGGCCCGGUCCUGCGUCCCGCCCACUCCUGCAUCUGCCGUCUGUCUGCCAUUGCCCUCCUCUUCCAGAGACAUGAGGCCUGGGGCCGCCUUGCUGAAAACGGGCCACGGAAGGGACGCCACCUAAGUCCCGGGGCCAGGACACGCACGGGGAGAUGGAUCCUCCUGGCUUCUCCCGGCUCAGCAGCAGGGCUCGGGGCACCCAGAGGCCGUGUGUGCGGCCCCAGGAGCAGACCCGCCUCCCCCUCCCAUGCAGGAGACUAUGGGCAGCAGCUCAGCAGCCAGGAGCCAUCCUGCUACCCGCCUCCUCCCAGGUGGGCCCUGUCACAAGACCCCGAGGCUGCGCUGGGUCCCGCCUUUGUCCGCCUCUGUCCUCCCCAGCCUCCCUGAGGGCAGGUGAGAAGAGUCCCUACCCCACCUGGUCGGCCAGGUGCUGGGCCCUGAGGAUCCCACCACCUCGGGAGCCACACGCCAAAGAGAGAAAGCGGCGAAGGCGAACCCAGGUGACUGCGUCUUUGGAAAGAGGAGAGAGAGAGCAAGCAGCGACAGCGCUUUCAAAGCUGGCCAACACCGCCAGCCUCGCGAAGGCCGCCGAGCGGCGUGGUUCGCUGUCAUCCUCAGCUGAGUCACAUCCUUUCUCUCCACGUGUUUUGGGCUGGAUAGUUUUGAUGGCCUCCUCAUAAAUUAUGUAAUAUCGUCUCCCAUAAAGAAAAUGAGAGGAUCAGGUGGUCUCCCCCAGCUCAGAUGACCAAAUUUUUCUUAGUGUUGAAAGUUUAUAGAAGUCAAUUUGAGCUUUGCAACUCGUGACUGGGGACAUCAAGAGAAAUUUCAGCAUUGUUGUCACAUUCAGAAAAACGUCUCUCAUGCCUCUUUUAUACCCAAGGGUUAGGAUGCCGGCGUGUUCAUGUUCUCUUGGGUGGUGGAUGCUAUGCAAUACACUUUGGAGUUCCCUGGUGGCUCAGUGGAUUAAGGAUCCAGCAUGGUCAUUGCGGUGCUUGGAUCACUGCUCUGACAAGGGUUCAGUCUCUGUCCCAGGAACUUCUGCAGGCCCUGAGCAUGGCAAAAAAAAAUUUAACAAUUUGGACUUGCCGCUGUGGUGCAACGGGAUUGGCAGCAUCUUUGCAGCCCCAGGGCGCAGGUUCGAUUCCCAGCCGGCAAAGUGGGUUAAAAGGGUCUGGUGUUGCCACAGCUGUAGCGUAGGAAGCAACUAUGGCUCCGAUCUGAUCCCUGGCCUGGGAACUCCAUAUGGCCCAGGGAGGCCAAAAAAGAAAAAAGUACUCUCAGUUCAUGACACUAAACUCUUUUCACUCUGUUGAACGGGUGGCUGGGUUUCAGGAGUCAGAGUAAUGCAUUUCUCACGAGGAUCUGUUGCCGUUAGCAGGAACGUGCGGGAGCCAAGGACAUGCGGGAGCCGCAGGGACCUGCGACGUCAGCUUCUUUGGCGUCACGUCUGAACCUGUGUGUCCCUGCAAGAUGCCCGAACCUUGGAGCAGGGAGGAUCCCAGGCAGGCAGGUGUGUGUCAGGCCGCUCAUUCCCACUGGUGGAGAUUUAUUAGGUGUCGGUGGCAAGAAUCCUGGCAAAUUUCUCCAGGAAUCUGUACCGAGGCACCGGGAUGGGUCCCCUAUAAACACAGGCCUUUGCGACCUCAGCCACCUCUUCUUCAGCAACAAAUCAGCACCCAUUACGGAAUGGGACACUAGUUAGAUGAAAGAAUCUGUUUUCGCAAAGGAAAACAGCACUGUCCCGAGAGCCUUGUGGCAGCCGUGAGCAUGGCCACAUGCACCUGUCAGGAGGAUGUGGUUCCAGGAUGCCAGGUGCUGGUGAGGACGCAGCGGGACCAGAACUCACAUGUGGCCAGCAGGGAUGCAAACGGCCAGUGUGGACAGUCACUCGGAGCGUUGACCAAAUAUCUGCAAUGCAACCCAGCAGUCUCUCUCCAGGGUCUUCGCCUUCGGGAAGUCAAAACUAUGUCCACAAAAAUCUGUACCUGGAUGUUUACAGCACUUCUGUUCAUAACCACAAAAAUAGUAAAGUCCCAAAGGUCCU